RNAcentral lists this ribosomal RNA (253 nucleotides) under uncultured bacterium. RNAcentral describes it as "partial 16S ribosomal RNA". It matches the Rfam family "Bacterial small subunit ribosomal RNA", at positions 524 to 776 of the family's 1533-position model. The record is from RNAcentral.
UACGUAGGGCGCAAGCGUUAUCCGGAAUUAUUGGGCGUAAAGAGCUCGUAGGCGGUCUGUCGCGUCGGCUGUGAAAACUCGGGGCUCAACCCCGAGCCUGCAGUCGAUACGGGCAGACUAGAGUCCGGCAGGGGGGACUGGAAUUCCCGGUGUAGCGGUGAAAUGCGUAGAGAUCGGGAGGAACACCAGAGGCGAAGGCGGCGACCUGGACAAGUACUGACACUCAACUACGAAAGCGUGGGUAGCAAACAGG